Molecule: transfer RNA, 69 nt
Filed under: Marmota monax (woodchuck)
Lineage: Eukaryota; Metazoa; Chordata; Mammalia; Rodentia; Sciuridae
Description: tRNA.Ala
Source: RNAcentral
GGGUAUAGCUCAGGGGUAGAGCACUUGCCUAGCAUGCUUGAGCCCCUGGGUUCAAUAUCCAACACUGCA